RNAcentral lists this ribosomal RNA (579 nucleotides) under uncultured Cellulomonadaceae bacterium. RNAcentral describes it as "bacterial SSU rRNA". It matches the Rfam family "Bacterial small subunit ribosomal RNA", at positions 102 to 694 of the family's 1533-position model. Lineage: Bacteria; Bacillati; Actinomycetota; Actinomycetes; Micrococcales; Cellulomonadaceae. The record is from RNAcentral.
ACGGGUGAGUAACACGUGAGUAACCUGCCUCUGACUCUGGGAUAAGCCUUGGAAACGGGGUCUAAUACUGGAUACGAGACGCUCGGGCAUCCGAGGUGUCUGGAAAGAUUUAUCGGUCAGAGAUGGACUCGCGGCCUAUCAGCUUGUUGGUGGGGUAAUGGCCUACCAAGGCGACGACGGGUAGCCGGCCUGAGAGGGCGACCGGCCACACUGGGACUGAGACACGGCCCAGACUCCUACGGGAGGCAGCAGUGGGGAAUAUUGCACAAUGGGCGCAAGCCUGAUGCAGCGACGCCGCGUGAGGGAUGACGGCCUUCGGGUUGUAAACCUCUUUCAGCAGGGAAGAAGCGAAAGUGACGGUACCUGCAGAAGAAGCGCCGGCUAACUACGUGCCAGCAGCCGCGGCAAUACGUAGGGCGCAAGCGUUGUCCGGAAUUAUUGGGCGUAAAGAGCUCGUAGGCGGUUUGUCGCGUCUGGUGUGAAAACUCAAGGCUCAACCUUGAGCUUGCAUCGGGUACGGGCAGACUAGAGUGCGGUAGGGGAGACUGGAAUUCCUGGUGUAGCGGUGGAAUGCGCAGA